GGAGAAGCAGAGCCUCCCUACAGAACCACAGAUCCAUGUGGGAGCUGCCAUGGAAGGAGAUAAGAAAUCCACCCUCCGGAUAUGUAGAAUGAUGUUGUUGUAAUCACUCUUCAAAGGGAGAUCCACAGUAAACAAAUGUUAGCAUGUUGCCUCUGCAGCUUCUUUUGGUACCAUAUCAGGAUGGGUGAGCUGUCUCCAGUUAAGGCAAAUUAACCUGUGAAGAAACAAAGCAAAGUCCAUGCUGAAAAUGUGUGCAGAUGUGAGGCCAACAGCAGCAGCAGAAAGGCUUUGUCAACACCAGCAAAUCACUGAUUCUACCUCUGCAAGGUCAGCUUCUGAAGGCAACGUGUGUGAGACCAGAGCUCCA
Long non-coding RNA from Centrocercus urophasianus (Greater sage-grouse), 367 nucleotides. RefSeq lists it as uncharacterized. The transcript is spliced from 4 exons. The record is from RefSeq and is a predicted model, not a curated record. Lineage: Eukaryota; Metazoa; Chordata; Aves; Galliformes; Phasianidae.